GUGUAGGGUGCUGCAUGGUUGUCGUCAGCUCGUGCCGUGAGGUGUCGGCUUAAGUGCCAUACGAGCGCAACCCUCAUCAUAGUUACCAUCAGGUAAGGCUGGGGACUCUAAUGAGACUGCCAUCGUAAGAUGGUGAGGAAGGUGGGGAUGACGUCAAAUCAGCACGGCCCUUACGUCCGGGGCGACACACGUGUUACAAUGGGUGGUACAAAGGGCAGCUACCUGGCGACAGGAUGCUAAUCUCCAAAACCACUCUCAGUUCGGAUCGGAGUCUGCAACUCGACUCCGUGAAGCUGGAUUCGCUAGUAAUCGCGCAUCAGCCACGGCGCGGUGAAUACGUUCCCGGGCCUU
This 351-nucleotide ribosomal RNA is filed under the name uncultured Proteiniphilum sp. RNAcentral describes it as "bacterial SSU rRNA". It matches the Rfam family "Bacterial small subunit ribosomal RNA", at positions 1031 to 1382 of the family's 1533-position model. The record is from RNAcentral. Lineage: Bacteria; Pseudomonadati; Bacteroidota; Bacteroidia; Bacteroidales; Dysgonomonadaceae.